Molecule: ribosomal RNA, 253 nt
Filed under: uncultured bacterium
Lineage: Bacteria
Description: partial 16S ribosomal RNA
Rfam family: Bacterial small subunit ribosomal RNA
Source: RNAcentral
UACGGGGGGGGCAAGCGUUGUUCGGAAUUACUGGGCGUAAAGCGCGCGCAGGCGGUUUUUCAAGUCAGUGGUGAAAGCCCGGAGCUCAACUCCGGAAAUGCCAUUGAAACUGCAAAACUUGAGGACGAGAGAGGUGAGUGGAAUUCCCAGUGUAGAGGUGAAAUUCGUAGAUAUUGGGAAGAACACCGGUGGCGAAGGCGGCUCACUGGCUCGUUUCUGACGCUCAGGCGCGAUAGCGUGGGGAUCAAACAGG